This 423-nucleotide long non-coding RNA is filed under the name Mytilus galloprovincialis (Mediterranean mussel). Lineage: Eukaryota; Metazoa; Mollusca; Bivalvia; Mytilida; Mytilidae. The record is from RNAcentral.
UAUUUUCCCGCGUAAUAAGUUUGUUUACAUUUUUGACAGUUCAAACAGGGUCAGUAAACACUGAUUAAACAAUGCAUGUGUUUCUACUUUUGUAACGUUUAACAAACUAUAACAACCGGCACACAACGUUUACAACACUUUGGUUAGAAAGAAAUUCACUCCCUGUUAAGCAGCUAUGUCUCCAAGGUGGAGUUUUCGUCAUUUCUUACAAAUCAUUAGACAUAAAUUGUUUUCAAGCUUUGCAAUCAUAUAUUUUUUUGUAAACUAGAUUUAGAUGUAUUAUUAUAUAGUAAAAGACAUGAAAGCUGUGAACAAAUAUACAUAUUACAUGUAUAUAUUAUUAAUGUACACAUUAUAUUGUUCUUUUAUGUUUCUAUAUUAGAAUUUGAUUUUUAACUAAUAAAAUAGUUUAAAAAAAAAACU